GUCCGUUUAGCUCAGUUGGCAGAGCGUCGUGCUAAUAACGCGAAUGUCGUGGGUUCGAUCCCCCCAAUGGCCA
Molecule: transfer RNA, 73 nt
Filed under: Dreissena polymorpha
Lineage: Eukaryota; Metazoa; Mollusca; Bivalvia; Myida; Dreissenidae
Description: transfer RNA isoleucine (anticodon AAU)
Rfam family: tRNA
About the family: Transfer RNA (tRNA) molecules are approximately 80 nucleotides in length. Their secondary structure includes four short double-helical elements and three loops (D, anti-codon, and T loops).
Source: Rfam by way of RNAcentral